AACAGAGUAUUAAAAGUCAAAGGGACAAAGAAGGACUCAGCAAGAUUUCCCUGACAAUUGCCUUAGUACUUUUAAUGCUUAAUUUUUUUUAAUUAUAUUCAUCUUAUUUUACUUUAGAGUUUAUCAUAUCGACCUGCCACUGAUUGAAAACAACACAAAACUGUUUCAUCACUGAUAGGUAGUCUGAGAAGCAAUGAAAUAGGUAACAUUAAAACCAAGACAUUCAGUUCAGGAAAAGACACAUAGGGAGAAACAAGUUCCAGAAGGCAGAAAAAAAUGUUUGCAGCACCUUAAUUGUUAAGGCAGGUAUAAGACUCAAUUGAAAUAAAAAUGGGCUGAACAUGCGAACAGGUAUUUACAGAUAUUUAGGAUGAGAAGUCCAAAUGCCCAGUGAGCACGUGAGGAGUGGUCAACCUCACUGUCACCAGGGAAGAGAGUAUUAAAACCACAACAUAAGCCACAGAGCCACCAGAUCAACAGAAACAAAGCCUCGUAAUUCCAAAUGUUGGUGAGGAUGCUGAGCAGCAGGAGCUCACUGGCAGGAGAGUAAACCAGCCAAAGCCUUCAGAACACUCCUUGGCAGCGUUCAUUAAAGCUGAGCAUAAAAAGCUGGAUUCGAGAGCCGCAGUUCCACUCCAAGUUCUAGUCCUAGGAACUAAUGACGUGUGCACAAACCCGAUGACGAAAGCAGCAUAAUUUACAAUGAUUACAAAGUGGAAAGAAGCCCAGUGACCACCAACAGUGGGCCGGAUAAAGAGAUGCUGUGCUCUUCACAGUGUGAAACAGUAAACAGCAGCAAAGCCCAUCAAGCCGCAGCUUCAGACAAUGACGUCAACAAAGCUCAUAGGAUGCACCAGCCUCCAUCUGGACAUAUCAGGAUAUUUCAGGCUGCAGGUCUCUGUGGAUCCACUCCUUAAUCUCAUCUGUCAGCCUCACUCUGAAGAUCUCAUUUUAAUUUUGCCUUAUUACUCCAAUAGCUCUGGUGGGUUUUUUUUUUUUCCUUCCAAGAGCUCUCAAAACUGACACCCACCCCUACUCCUUAC
Bos taurus (domestic cattle) is the source of this 1043-nucleotide long non-coding RNA. The record is from Ensembl. Lineage: Eukaryota; Metazoa; Chordata; Mammalia; Artiodactyla; Bovidae.